AGAUUAAAUGGCUGCAGUAACCAUGACUGUAAAAAUGUAGCAUAAUAAUUCGCCACUUAAUUAGUGGAUAGUAUGAACGGUUUAACGAAAAUUCCACUGUCUUAUGAAAUAAAAAAAAAAUUUAAAUCAUAGUUAAGAGCUAUGUAAAACUGUAAGACGAAAAGACCCUAUAAAGCUUAACUAUAUUUCUUAAUAAAUUAAAAAAAAAAUAAAAACAAUUAUUAAUUAAGAUUUGGUAGUUUCAUUGGGGCGAUGGUCUCUAAAAAUAAACAGAGAUAAACCUAUAUAAUAAUAAAAAUUUACUGUAUAAUUAAUAAAUUUAACAGUUACAAAGUAGGGUAUAAUGACCCAUUAUUUUAAUAAAAAAAAAAUAAUGAUCAAUAGAUAAAAGCUACUUUAGGGAUAACAGGAUAAUAAUUUCUUAGAGACCCAAUCGAAGAAAAAGUUUAUCACCUCGAUGUUGAAUUAAGAUAACCUAAUGACGCAGC
RNAcentral lists this ribosomal RNA (488 nucleotides) under Lytocarpia phyteuma. RNAcentral's name for it is "partial 16S ribosomal RNA". It matches the Rfam family "Bacterial large subunit ribosomal RNA", at positions 1920 to 2559 of the family's 2925-position model. The record is from RNAcentral. Lineage: Eukaryota; Metazoa; Cnidaria; Hydrozoa; Leptothecata; Aglaopheniidae.